GAGCGUAUUCAUAAAAUUACAG
Molecule: microRNA, 22 nt
Filed under: Dasypus novemcinctus (nine-banded armadillo)
Lineage: Eukaryota; Metazoa; Chordata; Mammalia; Cingulata; Dasypodidae
Description: Dno-Mir-590_5p* (star (passenger))
Source: RNAcentral